GAUGAACGCUGGCGGCGUGCUUAAUACAUGCCAGUCGAGCGAACAGACGAGGAGCUUGCUCCUCUGACGUUAGCGGCGGACGGGUGAGUAACACGUGGAUAACCUACCUAUAAGACUGGGAUAACUUCGGGAAACCGGAGCUAAUACCGGAUAAUAUAUUGAACCGCAUGGUUCAAUAGUGAAAGACGGUUUUGCUGUCACUUAUAGAUGGAUCCGCGCCGCAUUAGCUAGUUGGUAAGGUAACGGCUUACCAAGGCAACGAUGCGUAGCCGACCUGAGAGGGUGAUCGGCCACACUGGAACUGAGACACGGUCCAGACUCCUACGGGAGGCAGCAGUAGGGAAUCUUCCGCAAUGGGCGAAAGCCUGACGGAGCAACGCCGCGUGAGUGAUGAAGGUCUUCGGAUCGUAAAACUCUGUUAUUAGGGAAGAACAAAUGUGUAAGUAACUAUGCACGUCUUGACGGUACCUAAUCAGAAAGCCACGGCUAACUACGUG
This 497-nucleotide ribosomal RNA is filed under the name uncultured bacterium. RNAcentral's name for it is "partial 16S ribosomal RNA". It matches the Rfam family "Bacterial small subunit ribosomal RNA", at positions 28 to 507 of the family's 1533-position model. The record is from RNAcentral.